GUCCAAGGCCAUACCAUGCUGAACGCACUCAAUCUCACCUGAUCUUGGAAGCUAAGGAGGGUUGGGCCUGGUUAGUACUUGGAUGGGAGAUAGUGCCAAGUUUUACC
Molecule: non-coding RNA, 107 nt
Organism: Pongo abelii (Sumatran orangutan)
Lineage: Eukaryota; Metazoa; Chordata; Mammalia; Primates; Hominidae
Source: Rfam